This is a small nucleolar RNA of Pipistrellus kuhlii (Kuhl's pipistrelle), 123 nucleotides long. RefSeq annotates it as small nucleolar RNA SNORA17. The record is from RefSeq and is a predicted model, not a curated record. Lineage: Eukaryota; Metazoa; Chordata; Mammalia; Chiroptera; Vespertilionidae. The transcript has a single exon.
ACUGCCUCUAGAGGCCUUGCAAGUGUAGCUGCCAUGUCCUGUCAUUAGGUGGCAGAGAGGGGAGAGGCUCCCUAUGCCUGGCAUCCUGGCUGGGCAUGUCUGGAUGGCAGAUCUCCUGACACU